This is a long non-coding RNA of Solanum lycopersicum (tomato), 1214 nucleotides long. RefSeq lists it as uncharacterized. NCBI's taxonomy places the organism in Eukaryota, Viridiplantae, Streptophyta, Magnoliopsida, Solanales, Solanaceae. The record is from RefSeq and is a predicted model, not a curated record.
UGAAGAAUGUUAGGUACAUUGAGUAGAAACUUUUGAUUGCUAACUUAGACCGGGUCGUGAGAAAGCAAGUUCCUUCGAAUUGAUACCAUUUGAAUACAUAUGUUGCUGUAUGAUGUAAUAUUAUAUCCAUUCAAUUGUUGAUUGUAUUAGUCGGUCUGGGGCAUCUUAAAUAUUUAAGAAUGGCAACUGAUUCAGUUUGUUUCUUCAACUCCAAUGACUCUUUUUUCGGCAGAAUUCAUGUUGACUGAUUCAAUUGGUUCUUCAAUUUGUAAUCCAUGGUGACUCUCCUUAUAAUUCACGUUCUCUUUGUUCAUGUCAGAAACAACUUAUACGCACCUCAAAUAUUUCUCCAAGUACUUGUUACCCCACACCAAUACAAGUACAUGUUAGCUCUACCCGAUAAAACUUUAACAGUUAAAAAAAGAGCUAUGAAAAUAGGAAAAUAACAUUUCUCAUUAUCUUUGAAUUAUAGAUCAAACAAAAAAUUUGGGAUAAUACUCAAUUACCCCCUAGCCUAUACCAAAAAUACCUGAGACACACCUUGCAUUUGAUAAGGUCCUAUUACCUCCCAAUUUUUUUAAAAUUGUAUACCAUUUUCAUACCUACGUGGCAAUAGUAAUCAGAAAGGUUAAUCGGUCUAUUCAACACACAUUGGGCCCCACUUUUGUAGCUUUCUAAAGAGUUACUAUCAGCUCAAAAUGGACCUUUACACUUCCCAAAAUUCCAAAAAGCUAGCCAUUUACGUUUUCAAUAUUCACUUUACCAAAAACAAGAGAAAGGAACAAGCAAAGAAAGAAGGAAAGGUUAGAUUGGUUUCAGGAAAUCAACAAAGUGGUGCAUGUGCGGAUCGAUUUCAAUCGUGGAUGUGUGGGUCAAUUUCAUUCAGCAAGAAUCGUGGUUGACUUGAGUUCAAUGGAUGAAUUGCUGAGGUCAAAUCCUGGGAGUACUUGUAUGGUGAAGCUAGGAGAAGCUAAUGAAUCUGGGGGUAUGCAGGAUUCAAUUGCUUAUUGCAGUGGCCAAAGAUGGCAAUAAUCAAAUGUUUGAACUUGCUUGGGUUGUAGUUGAAAAUGAGAACACAAUCACUUGGAGGUUGUUUAUUUCUCUAUUGAAAGAAGACUUGGGAAUAGGAGAUGUAACAAGUUUCACCAUUAUGUCAGACAUGCUAAAGGUACUGGAUAUAGCUAUAAAGGAUUUGUUGCCAGCAUGUAAGGAAA